Molecule: ribosomal RNA, 293 nt
Filed under: uncultured Spirochaeta sp.
Lineage: Bacteria; Pseudomonadati; Spirochaetota; Spirochaetia; Spirochaetales; Spirochaetaceae
Description: partial 16S ribosomal RNA
Rfam family: Bacterial small subunit ribosomal RNA
Source: RNAcentral
GCAACGAGCGCAACCCCUGCAUUCAGUGCCAGCAAGUAAUGUUGGGGACUCAGAUGGAACUGCCGGUGACAAACCGGAGGAAGGUGGGGACGACGUCAAGUCAUCAUGGCCCUUAUGUCCUGGGCUACACACGUGCUACAAUGGCCGGUACAGAGCGCAGCGAAGCCGCGAGGCAAAGCGAAUCGCAAAAAGCCGGUCUCAGUACGGAUUGGAGUCUGAAACUCGACUCCAUGAAGUUGGAAUCGCUAGUAAUCGCGCAUCAGCAUGGCGCGGUGAAUACGUUCCCGGGCCUU